AGUGAACGCUGGCGGUAGGCCUAACACAUGCAAGUCGAACGGCAGCACAGUAAGAGCUUGCUCUUACGGGUGGCGAGUGGCGGACGGGUGAGGAAUACAUCGGAAUCUACUUUUUCGUGGGGGAUAACGUAGGGAAACUUACGCUACUACCGCAUACGACCUACGGGUGAAAGCAGGGGAUCUUCGGACCUUGCGCGAUUGAAUGAGCCGAUGUCGGAUUAGCUAGUUGGCGGGGUAAAGGCCCACCAAGGCGACGAUCCGUAGCUGGUCUGAGAGGAUGAUUGGCCACACUGGAGCUGAGUCACGGUCCAGACUCUUACGGGAGGCGGCAUUGGGUAAUAUUGGGCAAAGGGCGGAAGCCUGUUCCAGCCAUACCGCGUGGGUGAAGAAGGCCUUCGGGUUGUAAAGCCCUUUUGUUGGGAAAGAAAAGCAGCAGGUUAAUACCCAGCUGUUCUGACGGUACCCAAAGAAUAAGCACCGGCUAACUUCGUG
This 492-nucleotide ribosomal RNA is filed under the name uncultured bacterium. RNAcentral's name for it is "partial 16S ribosomal RNA". It matches the Rfam family "Bacterial small subunit ribosomal RNA", at positions 29 to 507 of the family's 1533-position model. The record is from RNAcentral.